This 253-nucleotide ribosomal RNA is filed under the name uncultured bacterium. Its description in RNAcentral is "partial 16S ribosomal RNA". It matches the Rfam family "Bacterial small subunit ribosomal RNA", at positions 524 to 776 of the family's 1533-position model. The record is from RNAcentral.
GACGAAAGGGGCUAACGUUGUUCGGAAUUACUGGGCGUAAAGCGCAUGUAGGCGGCUCUGAAAGUUGGGUGUGAAAUACCGGGGCUCAACUCAGGAACUGCACUAAAAACUGCAAAGCUAGAGGUCGCGAGAGGUUAGCGGAAUUCUCAGUGUAGAGGUGAAAUUCGUAGAUAUCCGGAAGAACAUCAGUUGCGAAGGCGGCUAUCUGGACCGUUUCUGACUCUGAGGCGCGAAAGCGUGGGGAGCAAACAGG